GACGAACGCUGGCGGCGUGCUUAACACAUGCAAGUCGAGCGGUAAGGCCCUUUCGGGGGUACACGAGCGGCGAACGGGUGAGUAACACGUGGGUGACCUGCCCUUAGCUCUGGGAUAAGCCUGGGAAACUGGGUCUAAUACCGGAUAUGACUCCAUAACGCAUGUUGUGGGGUGGAAAGCCUUGUGCGGCUAGGGAUGGGCCCGCGGCCUAUCAGCUUGUUGGUGGGGUGAUGGCCACCAAGGCGACGACGGGUAGCCGGCCUGAGAGGGCGACCGGCCACACUGGGGACUGAGGACACGGCCCAGACUCCUACGGGAGGCAGCAGGUGGGGAAUCUUGCGACAAUGGGCGGAAGCCUGACGCAGCGACGCCGCGU
RNAcentral lists this ribosomal RNA (376 nucleotides) under uncultured bacterium. RNAcentral describes it as "bacterial SSU rRNA". It matches the Rfam family "Bacterial small subunit ribosomal RNA", at positions 28 to 402 of the family's 1533-position model. The record is from RNAcentral.